Molecule: ribosomal RNA, 457 nt
Filed under: uncultured bacterium
Lineage: Bacteria
Description: bacterial SSU rRNA
Rfam family: Bacterial small subunit ribosomal RNA
Source: RNAcentral
UACGGAAGGCAGCAGGGGGGAAUAUUGCACAAUGGGCGCAAGCCUGAUGCAGCCAUGCCGCGUGUAUGAAGAAGGCCUUCGGGUUGUAAAGUACUUUCAGUCGUGAGGAAGGUGUUAAGGUUAAUAACCUUAGCAAUUGACGUUAGCGACAGAAGAAGCACCGGCUAACUCCGUGCCAGCAGCCGCGGUAAUACGGAGGGUGCGAGCGUUAAUCGGAAUUACUGGGCGUAAAGGGCACGCAGGCGGUUAAUUAAGUUGGAUGUGAAAUCCCCGGGCUUAACCUGGGAAUGGCAUUCAAGACUGGUUAGCUAGAGUCUUGUAGAGGGGGUAGAAUUCCAUGUGUAGCGGUGAAAUGCGUAGAGAUGUGGAGGAAUACCGGUGGCGAAGGCGGCCCCUGGACAAAGACUGACGCUCAUGUGCGAAAGCGUGGGGAGCAAACGAGGGAUUAGAUACCCGU